RNAcentral lists this ribosomal RNA (468 nucleotides) under uncultured bacterium. RNAcentral describes it as "partial 16S ribosomal RNA". It matches the Rfam family "Bacterial small subunit ribosomal RNA", at positions 28 to 507 of the family's 1533-position model. The record is from RNAcentral.
GACGAACGCUGGCGGCGUGCUUAACACAUGCAAGUCGAACGGAAAGGCCCUGCUUUUGUGGGGUGCUCGAGUGGCGAACGGGUGAGUAACACGUGAGUAACCUGCCCUUGACUUUGGGAUAACUUCAGGAAACUGGGGCUAAUCCCGGAUAGGAGCUCCUGCUGCAGGGUGGGGGUUGGAAGGUUUCGGCGGUGGGGGAUGGGCUCGCGGCUUAUCAGCUUGUUGGUGGGGUAGUGGCUUACCAAGGCUUUGACGGGUAGCCGGCCUGAGAGGGUGACCGGCCACAUUGGGACUGAGAUACGGCCCAGACUCCUACGGGAGGCAGCAGUGGGGAAUAUUGCACAAUGGGCGGAAGCCUGAUGCAGCAACGCCGCGUGCGGGAUGACGGCCUUCGGGUUGUAAACCGCUUUCGCCUGUGACGAAGCGUGAGUGACGGUAAUGGGUAAAGAAGCACCGGCUAACUACGUG